This 1271-nucleotide long non-coding RNA is filed under the name Elaeis guineensis (African oil palm). RNAcentral describes it as "long non-coding RNA (EGUI_LNC078282)". The record is from RNAcentral. Lineage: Eukaryota; Viridiplantae; Streptophyta; Magnoliopsida; Arecales; Arecaceae.
GGAUCUGAAUCCUAGACCCUUUUAGAACGCCAGGGUCGUAGCCUUUCCGCCAAGUCACCGGAGGAGAACCCAUUCCCCCGCCCUUCUCUCCACCGGCCUCCUGCUCCAAACCUCUCUGCUCUGCGCUCUGGGCGUCACCCACUCGAUCGAUAUGAAGAGGCCGAGAUGUGUUCUUCUUCCCGGGAUCUCGAUUUUUCGUCUCGUCCUCAUUUCUUGCGUCUUUCUGUGCUCUAUUCCUAGUAAAGCAAACCAAUUCUCUUCUUUUUCUUUAAAAAAAUGUUAUUUGUAAAUAUUUUGCAUGGAUUUCCCUCUUAUUUAAAGACAGGAAAGAGAAUAAAUUGACUGCAUGCAUUUGGAGAAGUCUAUCAAAUUUUCUUGGGAACAGUUGGGAGAUUUCACAGGUUUCUAAUUCAUAUCGUGAGAGAGAGUAAGAAAGGAUAGAGGUUGGAAACUGCUAAAAUCUAGUUGAAUUUUAGAUAUGAUUUGCAGGAGUAACAGAAAUAAUUAAGAAAAUAAGAGUUGGCUGCCAGUUUGGAUAAUAAUGGUAAGAGGACAGGUUUUGUUUAGGAUAGGUGUGAAAUUAUUAUCGUUCAUCAGAUUCUUUAUUGUUCAUGAGUUUUUUUCUCCUCCGAAAAAAAACUUAAAUAUGAGCUGGAGGGUGUUUCCUAGGUUUGUUUUUUAUGAAUUGUUUUUCGUUUUCUUUGUGCUAUUGCAAUGGUUGAUUUUGUCCCCCAAUUGCAAAUACAUUAUUUUCAGUUCCUUGAAAAUUAAUAUAGGAAUUUGAAGCAAUGAGUCAGAAAAUGAAGAUCAGCUAAAAUUUUUUGGAGCAUGCUUUUCAGAGUCAAAGCAUACGACUAUGCAUGUUGACCUACAGUGCUUGAUUGUUGCAUGGGUAGUUUCUUUACCUAGAGAAAUUUGUGGCUUACUAUAUCAACUACAAACAUUAUGGAAGUUACAUCCAAUCCAAGAGAGAGAGAGGGGUCAUGGAAUACUAGGAAACAUUUGGAUAUUGAGUUAUAAAGGAAUUUGUGGUAGUUGAUAGAAUAGACGAAAUAAUUCAGUGCAAAUGGAAAAGGAUAUUUGCUUUUAUUUUUUUUUGUUCUUGCCAUAUGUAUCUGUUGAUUUAUUAAAAGGUUAAAAUUUGCAAGCACAAUAAAGAUUCAUGGUUCGUGUGGUUUGAUAUCUUUCCAUAAAAUGCUCUCAAGUUGUCAACUUUAAUAGUAUUGGCUUCUAUGAUCAUGGGUGAAGGUUUUAGAGUUUUCAGAUUGGGG